Pelobates cultripes (western spadefoot toad) is the source of this 366-nucleotide non-coding RNA. The record is from the annotation of a GenBank genome assembly. NCBI's taxonomy places the organism in Eukaryota, Metazoa, Chordata, Amphibia, Anura, Pelobatidae.
GUUCAAUGGACUGUAACAUAUGAACCAUCCAUUAGGGCAGGCAUAGGCAACAUUCGGCACUGCAGAUGUUUUGGACUAAACGUCCCAUGAUGCUUUGCCAGCAUUAUGUGUGCAAGAGCAUUAUGGAGGAUGUAGUCCAUAACAUCUGGAGUGGUGAAGGUUGCUGAUCCCUGCCUUAGGGUAAUGACUAGUAGACAACUGCAAGGAAACACACUAUUAAAAAUACCAAAAAACAAAUUUGUCAAAAUAUCCUUUAUGCACAAUGUAGUCAACUUAGAUUGCAAAAUGCAUUUUCUCAUAUUUAAUUUUCACUGGAAAUUUUUUGAAAAUAGCUAAAUGAAGACCACAUGAUACCAAUGAGUGUAU